RNAcentral lists this small RNA (28 nucleotides) under Bombyx mori (domestic silkworm). Its description in RNAcentral is "piRNA piR-bmo-1885858". The record is from RNAcentral. Lineage: Eukaryota; Metazoa; Arthropoda; Insecta; Lepidoptera; Bombycidae.
UUACAUACCGUAUCUCUGCAAAAGCAUU